Long non-coding RNA from Pollicipes pollicipes, 428 nucleotides. RefSeq lists it as uncharacterized. Lineage: Eukaryota; Metazoa; Arthropoda; Thecostraca; Pollicipedomorpha; Pollicipedidae. The record is from RefSeq and is a predicted model, not a curated record. The transcript has 4 exons.
GUGGGUUCGGAUGUAAACAUUGCCGGUCCAUCCAAGCUGCGGUUUGUGAAUCGCUUCUGCAACAAUAUACUUGGACGGGCCAGCUGUGCGUGCCACCUAGCGGCGGUGUUCGUCACUAGGCGCGGCCGCCGUCUCUGCCGCCGCCAGGCCGCUCAGAGCCCCGCGGCCGGCGGUCGAGCCAGGCCGGAUGGGGGACUCGAUGGUGCGACGCUCGGGCCGCGCGGCCGGCGCUGACAGUGGCUGGUAUGCGCCACAGCAGCGCCAUCGCUCGGAUCCGGCCUGGCACCCUCCGCCUGCCAGCGGUCGGAGUCGGCGCACCUCCCGUCUGGGCGGUCCGCAUCGGUCGCGUCCGGCCGACCCACGCCCGGCCGCUGCCCCCUCAGCUAAGGCCCCGCAGCUGGACGUGGCGGCGCCGGGCUGCACGGCGG